This 506-nucleotide ribosomal RNA is filed under the name uncultured Glomeraceae. RNAcentral describes it as "SSU rRNA". It matches the Rfam family "Eukaryotic small subunit ribosomal RNA", at positions 569 to 1078 of the family's 1831-position model. The record is from RNAcentral. Lineage: Eukaryota; Fungi; Glomeromycota; Glomeromycetes; Glomerales; Glomeraceae.
AGCAGCCGCGGUAAUUCCAGCUCCAAUAGCGUAUAUUAAAGUUGUUGCAGUUAAAAAGCUCGUAGUUGAAUUUCGGGGUCAGUAGGCUGGUCAUGCCACAGGUAUGUACUGGUCUCACUGAUUCCUCCUUCCUGAUGAACCGUAAUGCCAUUAAUUUGGUGUUGCGGGGAAACUGGACUGUUACUUUGAAAAAAUUAGAGUGUUUAAAGCAGGCUAACGCUUGAAUACAUUAGCAUGGAAUAAUGAAAUAGGACGUUCGAUCCUAUUUUGUUGGUUUCUAGGAUUGACGUAAUGAUUAAUAGGGAUAGUUGGGGGCAUUAGUAUUCAAUUGUCAGAGGUGAAAUUCUUGGAUUUAUUGAAGACUAACUACUGCGAAAGCAUUUGCCAAGGAUGUUUUCAUUAAUCAAGAACGAAAGUUAGGGGAUCGAAGACGAUCAGAUACCGUCGUAGUCUUAACCGUAAACUAUGCCGACUAGGGAUCGGAUGAUGUUAUUUUUAAUGACUCA